GAUGAACGCUGGCGGCGUGCCUAAUACAUGCAAGUCGAGCGAACAGACGAGGAGCUUGCUCCUCUGACGUUAGCGGCGGACGGGUGAGUAACACGUGGAUAACCUACCUAUAAGACUGGGAUAACUUCGGGAAACCGGAGCUAAUACCGGAUAAUAUAUUGAACCGCAUGAUUCAAUAGUGAAAGACGGUUUUGCUGUCACUUAUAGAUGGAUCCGCGCCGCAUUAGCUAGUUGGUAAGGUAACGGCUUACCAAGGCAACGAUGCGUAGCCGACCUGAGAGGGUGAUCGGCCACACUGGAACUGAGACACGGUCCAGACUCCUACGGGAGGCAGCAGUAGGGAAUCUUCCGCAAUGGGCGAAAGCCUGACGGAGCAACGCCGCGUGAGUGAUGAAGGUCUUCGGAUCGUAAAACUCUGUUAUUAGGGAAGAACAAAUGUGGAAGUAACUAUGCACGUCUUGACGGUACCUAAUCAGAAAGCCACGGCUAACUACGUG
This 497-nucleotide ribosomal RNA is filed under the name uncultured bacterium. Its description in RNAcentral is "partial 16S ribosomal RNA". It matches the Rfam family "Bacterial small subunit ribosomal RNA", at positions 28 to 507 of the family's 1533-position model. The record is from RNAcentral.